UAGGGAAUCUUCCGCAAUGGACGAAAGUCUGACGGAGCAACGCCGCGUGAGUGAAGAAGGAUUUCGGUUCGUAAAACUCUGUUGUUAGGGAAGAAAAAAUGUAUAGUAACUAUAUACAAAAGAGACGGUACCUAACCAGAAAGCCACGGCUAACUACGUGCCAGCAGCCGCGGUAAUACGUAGGUGGCAAGCGUUGUCCGGAAUUAUUGGGCGUAAAGCGCGCGCAGGUGGUUUAGAAAGUCUGAUGUGAGAGCCCACGGCUCAACCGUGGAGGGUCAUUGGAAACUAAUAAACUUGAGUGCAGGAGAGAAAAGUGGAAUUCCUAGUGUAGCGGUGAGAUGCGUAGAGAUUAGGAGGAACACCGGUGGCGAAAGCGGCUUUUUGGCCUGCAACUGACACUGAGGCGCGAAAGCGUGGGGAGCAAACAGG
Molecule: ribosomal RNA, 429 nt
Filed under: Verrucomicrobiota bacterium
Lineage: Bacteria; Pseudomonadati; Verrucomicrobiota
Description: Verrucomicrobia bacterium partial 16S ribosomal RNA
Rfam family: Bacterial small subunit ribosomal RNA
Source: RNAcentral